Non-coding RNA from Vicia faba (fava bean), 198 nucleotides. The record is from the annotation of a GenBank genome assembly. Lineage: Eukaryota; Viridiplantae; Streptophyta; Magnoliopsida; Fabales; Fabaceae.
AUGGAGAAAUACUAUAAGAACAGAAAAACAAAUCAAAACCUCUCCUCCUUCAUCGCCAGCUGCACGUUUAACCGUUCGUCUGACUACUCUCCCGUUAUCAAGUUCAUACUUGAUAGAAAUACUCCUCACAUUCUCAUUUUGUUUCUCCGCAGCUUUCGUCCGACCACCCUCUCGUUAUCAGAUCUUCAUACAUGCUGA